UACAAACUUUCCCUUUGGUUUUAUUAUCAUCAAAUCUUAGAGGAAUAUCCAUAUACACUUCCUCUUCUAAGUCUCUAUACAAAAAAGUGUUUUUUACAUCAAAUUAUUGUAAGUCCCACUUAAGAUUUGUUGCACAUGACAACAAGAUUCUGAUGGUAUUCAUUUUUGCAAUAGGGGCUAAAGUCUUCUAAUAAUCCACUCCAUAUGUCUGAGUGAAGCUUUUAGUCACUAACUUGGCCUUAUACAUUUCAAUGGAACCAUUUGCAUUAUAUUUAAUUAUGAACACCCACUUGCAUCCUAUUGGUUUCUUCCCCGAUGGAAGAGAAACAAGAUCCCAUGUCUCAUUUUUUGCCAAUGCUCCCAUCUCCUCUACCAUAGUUGCCUUCCAUUUUGGA
Molecule: unclassified non-coding RNA, 395 nt
Filed under: Hevea brasiliensis (rubber tree)
Lineage: Eukaryota; Viridiplantae; Streptophyta; Magnoliopsida; Malpighiales; Euphorbiaceae
Source: RNAcentral